Molecule: long non-coding RNA, 222 nt
Filed under: Ananas comosus (pineapple)
Lineage: Eukaryota; Viridiplantae; Streptophyta; Magnoliopsida; Poales; Bromeliaceae
Description: long non-coding RNA (ACOM_LNC018753)
Source: RNAcentral
AACAUUUUCUUCUUUUUUUUUUUUUGAAAGAGAUAGAUAGCAUACUACGUACCCGCUUCGAUUAUUUAUUUAGAAAUAAGCUUAGCUGGAAAUGUGAAUCAACUAGGAUUCGAACUUGGGUCUCGGGUACCAAUCAUCAAGUCCUUUACCACUUGUUUUAGGGACGAUCGGUGUGUAACAUUUUCUUUGCGGAUAAUUUAUGAUUUUAUUAUCUUUUCAUUU